This 72-nucleotide transfer RNA is filed under the name Camelus ferus (Wild Bactrian camel). It matches the Rfam family "tRNA". From Rfam's summary of the family: Transfer RNA (tRNA) molecules are approximately 80 nucleotides in length. Their secondary structure includes four short double-helical elements and three loops (D, anti-codon, and T loops). Further hydrogen bonds mediate the characteristic L-shaped molecular structure. tRNAs have two regions of fundamental functional importance: the anti-codon, which is responsible for specific mRNA codon recognition, and the 3' end, to which the tRNAs corresponding amino acid is attached (by aminoacyl-tRNA synthetases). tRNAs cope with the degeneracy of the genetic code in two manners: having more than one tRNA (with a specific anti-codon) for a particular amino acid; and 'wobble' base-pairing, i.e. permitting non-standard base-pairing at the 3rd anti-codon position. The record is from Rfam by way of RNAcentral. Lineage: Eukaryota; Metazoa; Chordata; Mammalia; Artiodactyla; Camelidae.
GAGGGUACAGCUCAGUGGUAGAGCACGUGCUCAGCAUGCACGAGGUCCUGGGUUCAAUCCCCACUACCGCCA